RNAcentral lists this ribosomal RNA (497 nucleotides) under uncultured bacterium. RNAcentral describes it as "partial 16S ribosomal RNA". It matches the Rfam family "Bacterial small subunit ribosomal RNA", at positions 28 to 507 of the family's 1533-position model. The record is from RNAcentral.
GAUGAACGCUGGCGGCGUGCCUAAUACAUGCAAGUCGAGCGAACAGACGAGGAGCUUGCUCCUCUGACGUUAGCGGCGGACGGGUGAGUAACACGUGGAUAACCUACCUAUAAGACUGGGAUAACUUCGGGAAACCGGAGCUAAUACCGGAUAAUAUAUUGAACCGCAUGGUUCAAUAGUGAAAGACGGUUUUGCUGUCACUUAUAGAUGGAUCCGCGCCGCAUUAGCUAGUUGGUAAGGUAACGGCUUACCAAGGCAACGAUGCGUAGCCGACCUGAGAGGGUGAUCGGCCACACUGGAACUGAGACACGGUCCAGACUCCUACGGGAGGCAGCAGUAGGGAAUCUUCCGCAAUGGGCGAAAGCUUGACGGAGCAACGCCGCGUGAGUGAUGAAGGUCUUCGGAUCGUAAAACUCUGUUAUUAGGGAAGAACAAAUGUGUAAGUAACUAUGCACGUCUUGACGGUACCUAAUCAGAAAGCCACGGCUUACUACGUG